CAGAACAUUGAUUUUGACAUAAUAAAGUCCAUAACAAUUAUGUCAACUUCUAUCCGGUAAUACUUUUUCUUUGUUCAAGUUGCCAGUAAUAGAGAGAGAAACUGAUGACAUCAACAAUUUGACACUCCACAAUUAAUUAUCACACGUAAUAUAACCAAUCCCCACACAUUUCUUUAAUACAUAAAUAUGCAUCUAAUUUUUCUAUACCAUAUCACUAAAAAUAAUAGGAUUCAAAUUUCACUCACACCUAGUAAAUACUAAACUUUAAUCCAAACCUCAACUCCUAAAUAAUAAACCCUAAACUUUAAACAUCACCCUUACAUCUAAAUACUAAACCCUAAACCCUAAUUACUAAACCCUAAACCCAAAUAUAAACCUUAAACCCAAUUAUCAAAAUCUGAAAAUAGUAUAUAAUAUUAUGUAAUAUUAAACUAAAUCCAAACAAAACUCCUCAAUGCUAAACUCAGACCUAACUUUUGAAUAUUAAACCGAAAAAUGCUAUCAUUAAACCCAAACCCAAACUUCCACCUUCCAAAUACUAAACCCUAAAUCCUAAUCACUAAACCCUAAACCCAAGUAUAGACUAUAAACCCAAAUAGAAUGGAACAAAAUACAUAGUAUAGUACAAAUUGGUGAGCAAAAAAAACACUCUUUUUUAAUCGUCAAAUGGAACAUACAUAAUACGGUCACUAAACCCAAACAUCAACCCCCACCUUCCAAAUACUAAACCCUAAAUCUUAAUCAUUAAACCUAAACCCAAGUAUAAACUCUAAACCCAAAUAGUAUAGAACAAAAUACAUAGUAUAGUACAUAUAGUUGUAAACUAGAAAUUGAUAAAUAAUGAAUUUAUCAAACAAUCGAUGGUACAAUAAUACAACAAACGUAGCAUACUAUUUAGUUUGGUACUUGCGAAUUGUACAAAAAUAUAAGAAUCGUACUAUACUAUAAUUUUUUUUUACUACAUAUAGUAUAGUCGACGAGUUCAUCUUCUUCACAUCUUCCUCUUUUUACAGACAUGGUGAUACACACAUUCACUAGUCCAGAGUAAUUAUUCUUCAUCAUACCAUAUCAAUACAACAUACUAUAACAAUUUAAAUAACAAUGAAAAAAAUCAAGAUGAACAACAUUGAAAAAAACUAAAAAGAAAAGAAAUCGUGAUGUCACCUCGUCGUUCUCUACGGUGCCAUCUUCUCUUCCAAACUCAAUUCAACAAGCCCAAAAUCCAUAUUCUUUAUUAGUCUAGUGGUUUGUGUUCGUAUGUAUGAAAAAAAAACAGAGAUUGGAAGAGAAGAGGAAGAAGAAGAGAAAGAGAUGUGGAACAAUGAUAACCACAAUUUAUUAAAUUAUUUAUUUAAUAUUUCUUUUAAUAAAUAAUUCUCAGCAGGUUACACAUGUUGAAUUGAAGAGUAAUAUAGCAUUAUUACAUAAAAUACAUGUAUUGUAGAUAAAAGUUAGGGAUUUUAGUCAUAGAAAUAAAUUAUAAUUUGUUUGAAGGUUAUACAGUCUAAUUUUCCUUUAAUUUAUUCAUUAUAUUUUUUUAUUGCAUAACUCGUUAAAGAAAUCUCACCAGUCGUCAUUGAAUGCGUACGACUUACGGGCUUCGGUAUAUAUGGUACUUACUUUGGUUAAAAUAAUCUGUAUACUAUGGACUCAGAAUCUCGAUGUUCGCGAACCUAUUAAACCUAGCUAGCUAUUGUGAAGAUUUUCAUUAUCCUAUAGUUUAGACCAUCUACAGUACAUAACUACGGGUUUUUCUACAUGACUUUCUUCCAAGACUAACUAAAUAUCAGUUACAUAAAAGAAAUCAAAUGUAUCAAGAACAACCAAAUAUGGAUCCGUCCAGCAGACGGAACCUUCCCGGAAAACAACACUUUAUUAUUAAUCCAUAAAAUAGGAAAACAAGCAAAUUAAUAAUAAAAGGGUAUAGAAGGAAAGAACAGUCAACCCCAAGAAUCGUCAAGCCACAUGAAAACGAACGUCGAUUCUGACUCGGCGAAUAUCCAGUCUUGUAUAUAAAUAUACACAUACAAUGAAUCAUCCAUAGAUCUCUUACUAAACACAUUUCUCACCCAAGUCUUCAAAGCAACCAACUUGAACUACCAGAGACUACUUAGGACAAGUUUUAUGGAGGGACCAAAUAGGAGGAGCAACAGCCAACCACAAGAUGACAAGCAAGCUCGCUUCCGAGGCGUACGGAGGAGGCCGUGGGGCAAAUUUGCAGCAGAGAUUCGAGACCCAUCAAGGAACGGUGCCCGUCUUUGGCUCGGGACAUUUGAGACCGCUGAGGAUGCUGCACGGGCGUAUGACAGAGCCGCCUUCAACCUUAGAGGGCAUCUAGCUAUACUUAACUUCCCUAAUGAGUAUUAUUCCCGCAUGGACGACUAUGCGCUUCGCCCUCCUUAUUCCUCUUCUUCUUCAUCAUCUUCGGGUUCAACUUCCACGGGCGUGAGUCGACAAAAUCAAAGGGAAGUUUUUGAGUUUGAGUAUUUGGACGGUAGAGUUCUUGAAGAACUUCUUGAUUCAGAAGAAGGGAAGAAACGUUAGUUUUGUUUUCUUUAUUUCAUGUGGCGCUCUGGUGGCUUAGCAGCUUAGCUACGUGUAUUAUGUGCAUGUAUCUGCUUACUUAUUACUUAUUUUGGAAUUUUGAUAACGUGCUAUACGGUCAUAAAUUGUAAGAUAAGAUGUAAUUUGCGUUUCCAUGAAAUAUGAUUAUUAGAUGUUUAAAGUAUAUGCACUAGCUUCCAUUACGUCCCUUAAUUUGUAGGGGAUAUUGUUCUCUAAUGAGAUUUACAUGCAGUUAAUAUUAUAUGAUAUAUUUCAAUAAUAUUGACGGCCCAAUCGUAUUACUUUAUAUAAUUUGUAGACAGAUUAAGUACAGUAAUCCUAUAAUGAAGCAUUGAUUAAUACCUCUCAAAGAACAUAUCCUUCCCUUAAACACAAAAUGGUCCAUUAGUUUUUCGUAAUUAUUUAAUUAGCGGGAUUAACAUGAUGAGAUACUAGAAUUGAAAGCAUACAUGAGAGUGUAAUUACCAUUUUGUAACGCAUUUUGAGAAAUCUCUACGUUUACAUUUGUUUGAUUUGGUUCAGCAUAGAUACUACCAACAGAAAAUUAAAAGUUCGUGCUGUGUAAAUGAAGACAAAACAUGAAUUGUUGAUAUACUCAAUUAUCAAAUCUUUUGAGAGUAGUGAAAUAGUCAAUGGAUGAGUGAGUGAUCUAAUGAAGGUCCAGAAAUAGAUAGAUAGUACAACAAUACAGCAUGGACCAUGUGUAUGAGAAUCUAGUUCACAAACAAAAUAAGUUUAACGUGACAACGUCAUCAAGGAAGAAAUUCUACUAAAAAGCAAGGUUAAUAUUCAAAGUUGCUUCUUGAUUUGAAAAAUUAUGAAUUGGUAUAUUUUUGUAGUUAUCUUAAAUCAGCAUUCUUAUACUGUUUUAAAUAUUCAGAAUAUCGAUUUUUGAAAAAAAUAAAUAAAUAUAAGUUCAAUUCACUAUCAUGAAUUACUGAUAGUGACUACGUAUUAUCAUCUCAAUUCACACAAUAGUAAUAUUGUAGUUUAUAUUAAUGUGGUGAGUCCAGAUGGCGAUAUGUAGUCGCUUAAGUUAAACCAACUAACAAUUAACAAAAAAUACACAAUGAUGAUCUACCUAGUAAAGUGGGCCAAAUUUUAUUUAAGUUGGUAAAACAAAAUCAUAUUAUAGAUGAAUAAUAAAAAGCAAACAAAAUUGGAUUUGCUUUUUAUUAUUUGUCAAACUACAAUAUUACUAUUGUGUGAAUCGAGAUGAUAAUAUUCACCAUCCCAGCAUAUAAAAUCUAUAUUAUCCAAAGUCCAAACAUAUGAUAAAACUGCUAAUUAUUUGGAUAUAUUAAUGUGAGUAAGUGAAUAUAGUAUUAAAACAUUGGGAAGAAGAAAACAAAAGAAGUGACAAAUUGAUCUAAUUAACAGUUGCGUUAUACCAAACAUCCUGGUUAUAACUCUCUCCACACUCUAGAAGCUCGUCCAACAAACUAUCGUCUAAAUACUCAAACUCAAUCACUUCCUUCCCGCCACCACCGUCUCUUUCACUAAACUCUGACGACGAAGAAGCCACCGCAUUCUCGCCACCACCACUUGGACCAUCCCUCAUCAUUGGGUACUCAAGAGGGAAUAAAUAGUGUAAAAAUAUAUUAGCUGAAAUACGAGCUAAUCUUCAAAAUCAUAGAAAUUUUUUUAUUUUAUAUAAUAAUCUGUAGAAGUGAAAAAUUUAUUUCCCAAACUCCAUAGUAUUUCAUAUAAAGAUUUUUAAUGCUAACUUCAAACUAAGUUUAUUUGUAUAAAAACUUCUAAACUACAGAAAUAACAUAAAAACUUCCAAUCUAACUUUAUUUUAAUGGAUUAAACACUCUAUCUGCAAUACUUGUAAAACAAAUCGCUGAGGCUAAAUAUUUAGUCUAAGAGUUUUUAUCCAAACUAAAUUUAGUUGAAAAACUUUAGCAUUAAAAUUAAAAAUAUAAUAAAAUUAUAUAAAAAAUUAAUGACUCGAAAUUAUAAAAUUCACACUUCAAAAAUAUUUUUCAAAUAGAUGAACUAGAUUGAUUUAAAAUCCAUGUUACAUAUAAUACAAUCUGAUACUGUUUUCUAAAAUACAUGCUUUUUGAAUCUGAACCGAACCCGAUUUCUUAUGCAAAUCUAGCUCAUCUAUUUUCAUAAUCAGUUUGAAGUACUAAUUUGCAAUUUGAAAUUAUUAACUUUUACAUAUUUUAAAUUCCCAACUAAAUUUGGUUAAAAAUCUUACCAUUGCUGCAGACAGAUAAACUAAUCCAUUAAAUAAAAUUAAUUUGAGAGUUCACUUUAAAUAUUUAGUUUAAUAGUUUGAAUCCGAAACAAACUUAUGAUUUUAGCAUUAAAAUAUUUCGUACAACUAUUAAACCAUCAAAUAUUAAUUUAAUAAUAUGUAGUUUUGUAGCAAUAAAAACUCGUUCACCUUAUUUUUAUCUCUAACUUAAAAUGUUAAUUAAAGUUUCUUUCUACUGCAAAUAUUUCUAAUUUCUUUCUACUGCAAAUAUUUCUAAUUUUUUUAUGGUCUCUAUCAAACUUGUAGCAAAUUAUAGCUUAAAACCAUAUUGGUUACAUUUGUUUUAAAGCAUUAAAUUAGUAUAAAAGCAUAAAUUCGAACAUAUAAUGUUGUGUAUAUUUGCAAGAAUUUUUUUUUUUUUGCAACUUUAUAUUUGCAAGAAUUUGCGCUGUACAUUUGUUAUAUGUUCAAGAAAAUGUUAGCUUCUUUUGACAUUAAUCAAAAUUUUAGUUUAAAAUUUUCGUUUAGGGAUAAAGAUUGUCAUUUAAUUUAUUCAUUAUAUUUUUUUAUUGCAUAACUCGUUAAAGAAAUUUUACCGGUCGUCAUUGAAUGCGUACGACUUACGGGCUUCGGUAUAUAUGGUACUUACUUUGGUUAAAAUAAUCUGUAUACUAUGGACUCAGAAUCUCGAUGUUCGCGAACCUAUUAAACCUAGCUAGCUAUUGUGAAGAUUUUCAUUAUCCUAUAGUUUAGACCAUCUACAGUACAUAACUACGGGUUUUUCUACAUGACUUUCUUCCAAGACUAACUAAAUAUCAGUUACAUAAAAGAAAUCAAAUGUAUCAAGAACAACCAAAUAUGGAUCCGUCCAGCAGACGGAACCUUCCCGGAAAACAACACUUUAUUAUUAAUCCAUAAAAUAGGAAAACAAGCAAAUUAAUAAUAAAAGGGUAUAAAAGGAAAGAACAGUCAACCCCAAGAAUCGUCAAGCCACAUGAAAACGAACGUCGAUUCUGACUCGGCGAAUAUCCAGUCUUGUAUAUAAAUAUACACAUACAAUGAAUCAUCCAUAGAUCUCUUACUAAACACAUUUCUCACCCAACUCUUCAAAGCAACCAACUUGAACUACCAGAGACUACUUAGGACAAGUUUUAUGGAGGGACCAAAUAGGAGGAGCAACAGCCAACCACAAGAUGACAAGCAAGCUCGCUUCCGAGGCGUACGGAGGAGGCCGUGGGGCAAAUUUGCAGCAGAGAUUCGAGACCCAUCAAGGAACGGUGCCCGUCUUUGGCUCGGGACAUUUGAGACCGCUGAGGAUGCUGCACGGGCGUAUGACAGAGCCGCCUUCAACCUUAGAGGUCAUCUAGCUAUACUUAACUUCCCUAAUGAGUAUUAUUCGCGCAUGGACGACUAUGCGCUUCGCCCUCCUUAUUCCUCUUCUUCUUCAUCAUCUUCGGGUUCAACUUCCACGGGCGUGAGUCGACAAAAUCAAAGGGAAGUUUUUGAGUUUGAGUAUUUGGACGGUAGAGUUCUUGAAGAACUUCUUGAUUCAGAAGAAGAGAAGAAACGUUAGUUUUGUUUUCUUAUUUCAUGUGGCGCUGUGGUGGCUUAGCUACGUGUAUUAUAUGUGCAUGUAUGUGCUUAUUUAUUACUUAUUUUGGAAUUUUGAUAACGUGCUAUACGGUCAUAAAUUGUAAGAUAAGAUGUAUUUUGCGUUUCCAUGAAAUAUGAUUAUUAAUUAGAUGUUUAAAGUAUAUGCACCAGCUUUCAUGAGGUCCUUUAAUUUGUAGGGGAUAUAUAUUGUUCUCUAAUGAGAUUUACAUGCAGAAACUAUUAUACGAAAUAUUUCAAUAAUAUUGAUAACCUAAUCGUAUUACUUUAUAUAAUUUGUAAACAGAUUAAGUACAUUAAUCCUAUAUGAACCGUUGAUUAAUACCUCUCAAAGAACAUAUCCUUCCUUAAACAUAAAAUGGUCCAUUAGUUUUUCGUAAUUAUUUAAUUAGCGGGAUUACCAUGAUGAGAUACUAGAAUUGAAAGCAUACAUGAGAGUGUAAUUACCAUUUUGUAACGCAUUUUGAGAAAUCUCUACGUUUACAUUUGUUUGAUUUGGUUCAGCAUAGAUACUACCAACAGAAAAUUAAAAGUUCGUGCUGUGUAAAUGAAGACAAAACAUGAAUUGUUGAUAUACUCAAUUAUCAAAUCUUUUGAGAGUAGUGAAAUAGUCAAUGGAUGAGUGAGUGAUCUAAUGAAGGUCCAGAAAUAGAUAGAUAGUACAACAAUACAGCAUGGACCAUGUGUAUGAGAAUCUAGUUCACAAACAAAAUAAGUUUAACGUGACAACGUCAUCAAGGAAGAAAUUCUACUAAAAAGCAAGGUUAAUAUUCAAAGUUGCUUCUUGAUUUGAAAAAUUAUGAAUUGGUAUAUUUUUGUAGUUAUCUUAAAUCAGCAUUCUUAUACUGUUUUAAAUAUUCAGAAUAUCGAUUUUUGAAAAAAAUAAAUAAAUAUAAGUUCAAUUCACUAUCAUGAAUUACUGAUAGUGACUACGUAUUAUCAUCUCAAUUCACACAAUAGUAAUAUUGUAGUUUAUAUUAAUGUGGUGAGUCCAGAUGGCGAUAUGUAGUCGCUUAAGUUAAACCAACUAACAAUUAACAAAAAAUACACAAUGAUGAUCUACCUAGUAAAGUGGGCCAAAUAAACCCUAAUUACUGAACCCUAAACCCAAAUAUAAACCUUAAACCCAAUUAUCAAAAUCUGAAAAUAGUAUAUAAUAUUAUAUAAUAUUAAACUAAAUCCAAACAAAACUCCUCAAUGCUAAACUCAGACCUAACUUUUGAAUACUAAACCCAAAAAUGCUAUCACUAAACCCAAAUCUAAACUCCCACCUUCCAAAUACUAAACCCUAAAUCCUAGUCACUAAACCCUAAACCCAAGUAUAGAAUAUAAACCCAAAUAGAAUGGAACAAAAUACAUAGUAUAGUAUAAAUUGGUAAGUAAAAAAAAACACUCUUUUUUAAUCGUCAAAUGGAACAUACAUAAUACGGUCACUAAACCCAAACAUCAACCCCCACCUUCCAAAUACUAAACCCUAAAUCUUAAUCAUUAAACCUAAACCCAAGUAUAAACUCUAAACCCAAAUAGUAUAGAACAAAAUACAUAGUAUAG
This 7936-nucleotide long non-coding RNA is filed under the name Brassica napus (rape). RNAcentral's name for it is "long non-coding RNA (BNAP_LNC005821)". The record is from RNAcentral. Lineage: Eukaryota; Viridiplantae; Streptophyta; Magnoliopsida; Brassicales; Brassicaceae.